Molecule: ribosomal RNA, 782 nt
Filed under: Campylobacter jejuni
Lineage: Bacteria; Pseudomonadati; Campylobacterota; Epsilonproteobacteria; Campylobacterales; Campylobacteraceae
Description: bacterial SSU rRNA
Rfam family: Bacterial small subunit ribosomal RNA
Source: RNAcentral
GCGCGAAAGCGUGGGGAGCAAACAGGAUUAGAUACCCUGGUAGUCCACGCCCUAAACGAUGUACACUAGUUGUUGGGAUGCUAGUCAUCUCAGUAAUGCAGCUAACGCAUUAAGUGUACCGCCUGGGGAGUACGGUCGCAAGAUUAAAACUCAAAGGAAUAGACGGGGACCCGCACAAGCGGUGGAGCAUGUGGUUUAAUUCGAAGAUACGCGAAGAACCUUACCUGGGCUUGAUAUCCUAAGAACCUUAUAGAGAUAUGAGGGUGCUAGCUUGCUAGAACUUAGAGACAGGUGCUGCACGGCUGUCGUCAGCUCGUGUCGUGAGAUGUUGGGUUAAGUCCCGCAACGAGCGCAACCCACGUAUUUAGUUGCUAACGGUUCGGCCGAGCACUCUAAAUAGACUGCCUUCGUAAGGAGGAGGAAGGUGUGGACGACGUCAAGUCAUCAUGGCCCUUAUGCCCAGGGCGACACACGUGCUACAAUGGCAUAUACAAUGAGACGCAAUACCGCGAGGUGGAGCAAAUCUAUAAAAUAUGUCCCAGUUCGGAUUGUUCUCUGCAACUCGAGAGCAUGAAGCCGGAAUCGCUAGUAAUCGUAGAUCAGCCAUGCUACGGUGAAUACGUUCCCGGGUCUUGUACUCACCGCCCGUCACACCAUGGGAGUUGAUUUCACUCGAAGCCGGAAUACUAAACUAGUUACCGUCCACAGUGGAAUCAGCGACUGGGGUGAAGUCGUAACAAGGUAACCGUAGGAGAACCUGCGGUUGGAUCACCUCCUUUCUA